RNAcentral lists this ribosomal RNA (387 nucleotides) under uncultured Pseudomonas sp. RNAcentral describes it as "bacterial SSU rRNA". It matches the Rfam family "Bacterial small subunit ribosomal RNA", at positions 998 to 1382 of the family's 1533-position model. The record is from RNAcentral. Lineage: Bacteria; Pseudomonadati; Pseudomonadota; Gammaproteobacteria; Pseudomonadales; Pseudomonadaceae.
UUCCAGAGAUGGAUUGGUGCCUUCGGGAACUCUGACACAGGUGCUGCAUGGCUGUCGUCAGCUCGUGUCGUGAGAUGUUGGGUUAAGUCCCGUAACGAGCGCAACCCUUGUCCUUAGUUACCAGCACGGUUAUGGUGGGCACUCUAAGGAGACUGCCGGUGACAAACCGGAGGAAGGUGGGGGAUGACGUCAAGUCAUCAUGGCCCUUACGGCCUGGGCUACACACGUGCUACAAUGGUCGGUACAAAGGGUUGCCAAGCCGCGAGGUGGAGCUAAUCCCAUAAAACCGAUCGUAGUCCGGAUCGCAGUCUGCAACUCGACUGCGUGAAGUCGGAAUCGCUAGUAAUCGUGAAUCAGAAUGUCACGGUGAAUACGUUCCCGGGCCUU